This 468-nucleotide ribosomal RNA is filed under the name uncultured bacterium. Its description in RNAcentral is "partial 16S ribosomal RNA". It matches the Rfam family "Bacterial small subunit ribosomal RNA", at positions 28 to 507 of the family's 1533-position model. The record is from RNAcentral.
GACGAACGCUGGCGGCGUGCUUAACACAUGCAAGUCGAACGGAAAGGCCCUGCUUUUGUGGGUUGCUCGAGUGGCGAACGGGUGAGUAACACGUGAGUAACCUGCCCUUGACUUUGGGAUAACUUCAGGAAACUGCGGCUAAUACCGGAUAUGAUCUCCUGCUGCAUGGUGGGGGUUGGAAAGUUUCGGCGGUUGUGGAUGGACUCGCGGCUUAUCGGCUUGAUGGUGGGGUAGUGGCUUACCAAGGCUUUGACGGGUAGCCGGCCUGAGAGGGUUACCGGGGACAUUGGGACUGAGAGACGGAGCAGACUGCUACGGGAGGCAGCAGGGGGGAAUAUGGCACAAUGGGCGGAAGCCUGAGACAGAAACGCCGCGUGCGGGAUGACGGCCUUCGGGUUGUAAACCGAUUUCGACUGUGACGAAGAGUGAGUGACGGUAAUGAGUAAAGAAGCACCGGCUAACUACGUG